AUUGAACGCUGGCGGCAUGCCUUACACAUGCAAGUCGAACGGUAGCGGGCCUUCGGGUGCCGACGAGUGGCGAACGGGUGAGUAAUGUAUCGGAACGUACCUUUCAGUGGGGGAUAACGUAGCGAAAGUUGCGCUAAUACAGCAUAUUCUGUGAGCAGGAAAGCAGGGGAUCGCAAGACCUUGCGCUGAUUGAGCGGCCGAUAUCAGAUUAGCUAGUUGGUGAGGUAAAGCCUCACCAAGGCGACGAUCUGUAGCGGGUCUGAGAGGAUGACCACCCACACUGGAACGUGGACACGGUCAAAACCCCAAGGGGAGGCAGCAGUGGGGAUUUUGGACAAUGGGGGCAACCCUGAUCCAGCCAUGCCGCGUGAGUGAAGAAGGCCUUCGGGUUGUAAAGCUCUUUCGGCCGGGAAGAAAUCGUAUCAGCUAAUACCUGGUGCGGAUGACGGUACCGGCAUAAGAAGCACCGGCUAACUACGUGCCAGCCGCCGCGGUAA
Molecule: ribosomal RNA, 497 nt
Filed under: uncultured bacterium
Lineage: Bacteria
Description: partial 16S ribosomal RNA
Rfam family: Bacterial small subunit ribosomal RNA
Source: RNAcentral